CACAGUUCUUGUUGUAUAUAAUAUUGCUUUAUAAGAAUCUGGAAAGCUACAUAUAUUAAUUAAGUGCUAUAAGUAAUCCAAACAAAUAAGUAGGGGGAAAGAAAAAUCGUAAGUUAGGAUCCUAUUUGACUUUCAUGUCAAAAAUAUGGUGCCAUCUGUUAGCGUAAUGGUCACAGAUACUACGAACGAGAUAGUGCGGAAUGAUUGUAAUUAUUGUAAGCAGAUGUCACUGGUAAAAACUGAAAUCUUCGAAAAAGGAUAACGUGACUGGAAUUUGUUGGCCCAGGACAGCGUCCGGUGUAGGGAGUCGAUAAAUUCUGUGGUAACGGUUACGUUCUCUGAGUCCGUCCUGUGAAGCCAACAGUCCCUCAGCCACUCAAGAAAUUCCCAACAUUUUAAGGAAACCAGAGAUUCAUUACCAUGUUAUCGAGAGCUUGCCACUGGUCCCUAUCCUCAGCCAGCUGUAUCCAGUCCAUACCACUCAAACCUAAAAUUUACCAACUCAAAAAGAGCAAGCUGCCAUUCUGAAGCCAACAUAGAAAUGUCAAAGGAAGAGUAUAUUCAAGCACAUGGUUGUGACAG
Molecule: non-coding RNA, 582 nt
Organism: Zootermopsis nevadensis
Lineage: Eukaryota; Metazoa; Arthropoda; Insecta; Blattodea; Termopsidae
Source: RefSeq, a predicted model, not a curated record